Papilio xuthus (Asian swallowtail) is the source of this 45-nucleotide non-coding RNA. NCBI's taxonomy places the organism in Eukaryota, Metazoa, Arthropoda, Insecta, Lepidoptera, Papilionidae. The record is from Rfam.
UCAAAGGUUUUUAUAGAAACCAUACAUAUUUCCUGGAACAUAAGU